UGGGGAAUUGUUCACAAUGGGCGCAAGCCUGAUGACGCAACGCCGCGUGGGGGAUGAAGGUCUUCGGAUCGUAAACCCCUGUCGAAUGGGACGAAAGACUCGCGAGUGAAUACUUCGCGAGAGUGACGGUACCGUUAAAGGAAGCCACGGCUAACUCUGUGCCAGCAGCCGCGGUAAUACAGAGGUGGCAAGCGUUGUUCGGAAUUACUGGGCGUAAAGGGCGCGUAGGCGGCCCUCUAAGUCAGACGUGAAAUCCCCCGGCUUAACCUGGGAACUGCGUCUGAUACUGGAGGGCUUGAGUAUGGGAGAGGGAUGUAGAAUUCCAGGUGUAGCGGUGAAAUGCGUAGAUAU
This 351-nucleotide ribosomal RNA is filed under the name uncultured bacterium. RNAcentral describes it as "bacterial SSU rRNA". It matches the Rfam family "Bacterial small subunit ribosomal RNA", at positions 355 to 697 of the family's 1533-position model. The record is from RNAcentral.